AGAAAGGGCGCACGGUGGAUGCCUUGGCACUAGGAGCCGAAGAAGGACGGGACUAACACCGAUAUGCUUUGGGGAGCUGUACGUAAGCGUUGAUCCAGAGAUUUCCGAAUGGGGGAACCCACUAUCUUUAGUCGGAUAGUAUCCUUACGUGAAUACAUAGCGUGAGGAAGGCAGACCCAGGGAACUGAAACAUCUAAGUACCUGGAGGAAGAGAAAGAAAAAUCGAUUUCCUGAGUAGCGGCGAGCGAAACGGAAAGAGCCCAAACCAAGAAGCUUGCUUCUUGGGGUUGUAGGACACUCUAUACGGAGUUACAAAAGAAAGUUAUAAAUGAAGCGGUCUGGAAAGGCCCGCCAAAGACGGUAACAGCCCGGUAGUUGAAAUGGCUUUCCCUCCAGAGUGGAUCCUGAGUACGGCGGAACACGUGAAAUUCCGUCGGAAUCCGGGAGGACCAUCUCCCAAGGCUAAAUACUCCCUAGUGACCGAUAGUGAACCAGUACCGUGAGGGAAAGGUGAAAAGCACCCCGGAAGGGGAGUGAAACAGUUCCUGAAACCGUGUGCCUACAAGUAGUUAGAGCCCGUUAAUGGGUGAUAGCGUGCCUUUUGUAGAAUGAACCGGCGAGUUACGAUUUGUUGCAAGGUUAAGCGGAAAAAGCGGAGCCGUAGCGAAAGCGAGUCUGAAUAGGGCGCAUAAGUAACAGGUCGUAGACCCGAAACCAGGUGAUCUACCCAUGUCCAGGAUGAAGGUAAGGUAAUACUUACUGGAGGUCCGAACCCACGCACGUUGAAAAGUGCGGGGAUGAGGUGUGGGUAGCGGAGAAAUUCCAAUCGAACUUGGAGAUAGCUGGUUCUCUCCGAAAUAGCUUUAGGGCUAGCCUCGAGGUAAAGAGUCAUGGAGGUAGAGCACUGUUUGGACUAGGGGCCCUUCUCGGGUUACCGAAUUCAGAUAAACUCCGAAUGCCAUGUACUUAUACUCGGGAGUCAGACUGCGAGUGAUAAGAUCCGUAGUCGAAAGGGAAACAGCCCAGACCACCAGUUAAGGUCCCCAAAUAUAUGUUAAGUGGAAAAGGAUGUGGGGUUGCUUAGACAACCAGGAUGUUGGCUUAGAAGCAGCCACCAUUGAAAGAGUGCGUAAUAGCUCACUGGUCGAGUGACCCCGCGCCGAAAAUGUACCGGGGCUAAACAUAUUACCGAAACUGUGGAUGAACCUCUUCGGAGGUUCGUGGUAGGAGAGCGUUCUAAGGGCGGUGAAGUCAGACCGGAAGGACUGGUGGAGCGCUUAGAAGUGAGAAUGCCGGUAUGAGUAGCGAAAGAAGGGUGAGAAUCCCUUCCACCGAAUAUCUAAGGUUUCCUGAGGAAGGCUCGUCCGCUCAGGGUUAGUCGGGACCUAAGCCGAGGCCGAUAGGCGUAGGCGAUGGACAACAGGUAGAGAUUCCUGUACCAGUGCUAAUUGUUUAACCGAUGGGGUGACACAGAAGGAUAGGGAAUCGCACGAAUGGAAAUGUGCGUCCAAGCAGUGAGUGUGA
This 1524-nucleotide ribosomal RNA is filed under the name Listeria innocua. RNAcentral describes it as "partial 23S ribosomal RNA". It matches the Rfam family "Bacterial large subunit ribosomal RNA", at positions 1 to 1528 of the family's 2925-position model. The record is from RNAcentral. Lineage: Bacteria; Bacillati; Bacillota; Bacilli; Caryophanales; Listeriaceae.